AGGAUGAACGGCUGGCGCGUGCCAAUACAUGCAAGUCGAGCGAACCACGUUACGGUGGGAAGCGGCGAACGGGUAGAGUAACGACGUAGGUGAUCUGCCCAUCAGACGGGGACAACGAUUGGAAACGAUACGCUAAUACCGGAUAGGACGAAAGUUUAAGAUGCUCCUGGCAUCACUGAUGGAUGAGCCUGCGGCGCAUUAGGCUAGGUUGGUGGGGUAAAGGCCUACCAAGGCGACGAUGCGUAGCCGACCUGAGAGGGUGAACGGCCACACUGGGACUGAGACACGGCCCAGACUCUACGGGAGGCAGCAGUAGGGAAUCUUCGGCAAUGGGCGAAAGCCUGACCGAGCAACGCCGCGUGAAUGAAGAAGGCCUUCGGGUUGUAAAAUUCUGUUAUAAGGGAAGAAAGGUGAUAGGAGGAAAUGACUAUCAAUUGACGGUACCUUAUGAGAAAGCCACGGCUAACUACGUG
This 473-nucleotide ribosomal RNA is filed under the name uncultured Turicibacter sp. Its description in RNAcentral is "bacterial SSU rRNA". It matches the Rfam family "Bacterial small subunit ribosomal RNA", at positions 26 to 507 of the family's 1533-position model. The record is from RNAcentral. Lineage: Bacteria; Bacillati; Bacillota; Erysipelotrichia; Erysipelotrichales; Turicibacteraceae.